AUUUGCCAUGUGUCAGGUGGUGUCUUGGGGCUCAAUCUCUCUGCCCUAUCUUUUUUUUAAAAACAUCUUAUUACCAAAAUAACAUACUCUCUUUGAAAUAAAAUUUAGAAGUUAUUUACUCUCUUUCAAAAGUGUUCUUGACAAUGAAUUGUGAUUGGCUGAUUAUUAUCUAUUUGGCUCUUUAGAUCAGCCUUUUUCGGCCCUGUAGGCUGACCUCUAUUGAUUCGAUCACCUGAAUGCUAGCUGGGUUUGGCUGCAGACUAAAUUUAGCCUUUGGAAGAUUGGAGGGGGAAAUACACACACACACACACACACACACACACACACACACACACACAGAUUGAGAUUGAAAUAUUUCUUCUUUUCCUGCCACAGUUUUGACACUGGUUGGAUCUUGACAUGGCAAAGCUUCUACAGCUCCUGCUCUUCACCAGGCAGUGGUAACAUGUUGGUUUUGGCAAAUACAUGAUAUGGGCACAAAUAGAGAUUGACAAGGGAUCGUUGAGAGCUGUGCCUUGAGCUGUAAUUUCUGUCAAGGGGGUAGAAGAUGGAUGCAGUGAGGCCUCCACCUGGUAUAUUGGGGAUUGGGUGGCAGAGAUCCCCUGGCCCUCACCUCCUACUUCUUCCCUACCUUCCUCCCUUGUAGCACUUUGUUACAUGUACUACUGGAUGCUGGACCCAGAAUAGAUGUAUUUGUCACUCAUAAUUAUGUGUUUAAUAUAUGUCUCCUCCAUUUGACUCUAAACUCCUUGAAAGCAGGGUCCUUGUCUGUCUUGAUCACUGUAGUAUCCCCACUACCUAGCAGCAGGUUUGCCACAGAAUACAUACUUAAUAAAUGCUUCCUGAAUGAAGGAAUGGAUGAAUUGUCUUUCUAGAUAAGCUCUUCCUCCCUCUUCAUCCUACGUCCAUCCCAAGCCCUACCCAUGGCCAACUUCUAGCUCUUCUCUGAAUAUGCAAUGCUCUCUGCCUUUUCCUAGUGCUCCUCCCCACUUUUCCUGAAAUUGUACUUCUCCAUCCCGUCUUCCUGAUGAGAAUUCUUACUCUUUACACACUCCCUAAGAAGCCUUAUCAUGUCCACCACCACCUACAAAUUGAGGGCUCCUCAUAUCUGCAAGCUGGCCCACAGAGCCUUCCCUCCUUAGUUCAGAUCCAGAUUUCCAACUACCAGCUGGACGUUUCUAUCCAAGUAUUCCCACAACAUCUCAAACUCAACAUUCAUAAUACUGAAUUCAUCAUUUGUACCCCAAUUCCGUUCCUGGGACCUUUGGUUCAGUAACGGGCUCCUCCUUCUCCCACUCCUCGCACAACACAUCAAUUUUACCUCUAACCACUUCUUCAGUUUGUCAGCCCUUCUCUACUCCCACUGACACAACCCAAGUUCAGGCUCAUCCCUCCCCUGCACCACUGAAACAGCUUCUUCUCGGUCUGUUGUCCUCAUCAGAAUUUUCCUUUGUUCUGUCGCCAUAACUGACUUCUAAAACUAAAAUCCUGAGCAAUGAAGUUCUUCCUAGCCUGCUGCAGAAACUCCAAACAAAGAUGUCCAAGAUCAGGCUUCUCCAGCUUCGGUUUCCACAGCCUUACAGCCCUGCCAGUCGCACAGCACACAAACAGAUGGUUAGACUCAGUCCUUUUGAGACCACGCAUUCUUGAAUACGGCACGAACCUGAGAAGGAGAGGCCUGUUCAAAGGUUUAGUGAUUUAUUUAGCACCAGUGCAGGCACGUAUUCAUCUCCGUGAAAUCAGGAGAUUCCCGAGCCUGCGCUCACACCGCAUUCAGGGAAGUGGUCUCGAGUCCGGAAAAUCCUGGCGUCACGUGCCCCACCCCUCCAGGUUCCUCAGCUCACCUGAAUCUCAAGAAUUCUUGGGCUGAGCAAGGCGGACACGAUUCUCCCGUUAAAAGCUAGGGGGGCAUGUGACCAAAAGAAGCCAUGAAAGGACGUGGCUCCCCCAGCGUGGCCAGUGGAGCUCUACCAUGUCUCCAGUGUCCACGAGUCAACGCCAGUGGGGUUUGCGAGACUGGGGAAAGUGUCUGCGAGACUCAAGGCAGCCAGCGGUGCUUCCUGAGGAAGGUCUACGAAGAUGACAGGCUCCUGUAUGGAUACCAGGGCUGUGGGGACCUGUGCCUCUCCAUGUCUUUCUUCAGACAAAGUGUUCAAGUGGAUUUUGUAUGCUGCAAUGACACCCCUUUCUGUAACAGAUUUUAGAGACUUGGCCCUUUAGCCCUUUUCUCCCAUUUAGCCCUUUUCUGUACUCCUGCAGCCUCAAAGGACGGGGCCAUCCUUCCCCAGCACUGUUCAAGCCCCGAAGCCUGCUCCUACUAAGCUACGGGUGGUGACGUUUCCACAGCUUCACCCACCAGACCGAUGCUUCCUGUUUCCCAUCGCCCCUGCUGCUCUUUUUCUCGGAUUCCUGUCUCCCCCCCCCCUUUCUCUCUCUGUACCCACAUCCCUCCUCGCUUCCCCUGUCAUUGGCUGGCAUAUAACAAGCUCUCCCUCCUCCCCCUUUUCCUUCCUCUGACAAAUACUUUCUGACGGCUAAGCCCGGGAGUUCGAUGCUGAUUAGAGAGCAGUGAAUAAAACAGACCUGAUCUCUGUCCUCAAUCAAUGUGCCUUCAUUUUAGUGGCUCCUUUUCUGCCAGGUGACCCGGGUCACAAUAGCUCCAGUAUCUUGCCUCGUUCUUACUCACAGGACUUAAGGCUGGAAGGGACUCCUUCACCAGCCCCUCUGUCACACACACACACACACACACACACACACACACACACACACACUCUUUUUCUCUGUCUCCCUCAGUCUUCCCCCCUUUCCACUGUGUAGCUUUUUCUGAAUAAAUCUUGCAUCGUGGUGUUGCUUAGA
This is an RNA transcript of Felis catus (domestic cat), 2856 nucleotides long. It is a transcript of the gene named protein PIP-1-like, with no coding region annotated. NCBI's taxonomy places the organism in Eukaryota, Metazoa, Chordata, Mammalia, Carnivora, Felidae. The record is from RefSeq and is a predicted model, not a curated record. The transcript has 4 exons.